CAAUACUCUCUCUAGCAUCCAAACUCUCUCAAAAAAUCGACUUAGGGGGGAAAAUAAGUUUGAGAAACGCUGAUUUUGAAUAUGGCUUAAACACAACAACAACAACACGAGCGAACAAAGUAGCAGUGAUUCAUAAACGUAUCUACUACCUUAAUAAUUGUAGUUUGGUUGCUAGGGAGGAUUUUGGGAAAAAUAAAAAUAG
Long non-coding RNA from Bradysia coprophila, 202 nucleotides. The record is from RefSeq and is a predicted model, not a curated record. Lineage: Eukaryota; Metazoa; Arthropoda; Insecta; Diptera; Sciaridae.